This 76-nucleotide transfer RNA is filed under the name Peptococcaceae bacterium. Its description in RNAcentral is "tRNA-Lys". It matches the Rfam family "tRNA". From Rfam's summary of the family: Transfer RNA (tRNA) molecules are approximately 80 nucleotides in length. Lineage: Bacteria; Bacillati; Bacillota; Clostridia; Eubacteriales; Peptococcaceae. The record is from RNAcentral.
GGGCCAUUAGCUCAACUGGUAGAGCAACUGACUCUUAAUCAGGAGGUUGGGGGUUCGACUCCCUCAUGGCCCACCA